AACCCAUAGUGGGAGCACCUUUUCAAUAAAUCAUUAUACCUCUCCCAUGCAUCAUAUUACGUUUCUAAAUCUAUCUGCUCGAAGGAAAAGAUGAUGUUUCUCAACUU
This 107-nucleotide small nucleolar RNA is filed under the name Gossypium hirsutum (cotton). Its description in RNAcentral is "Plant small nucleolar RNA R71". It matches the Rfam family "Plant small nucleolar RNA R71". Rfam says of the family: R71 is a member of the C/D box family of snoRNAs containing the C (UGAUGA) and D (CUGA) box motifs. RNAcentral also lists the same sequence under 1 other name. The record is from Rfam by way of RNAcentral. Lineage: Eukaryota; Viridiplantae; Streptophyta; Magnoliopsida; Malvales; Malvaceae.